Molecule: ribosomal RNA, 496 nt
Filed under: uncultured bacterium
Lineage: Bacteria
Description: partial 16S ribosomal RNA
Rfam family: Bacterial small subunit ribosomal RNA
Source: RNAcentral
GAUGAACGCUGGCGGCGUGCCUAAUACAUGCAAGUCGAGCGAACAGAUGAGGAGCUUGCUCCUCUGACGUUAGCGGCGGACGGGUGAGUAACACGUGGAUAACCUACCUAUAAGACUGGGAUAACUUCGGGAAACCGGAGCUAAUACCGGAUAAUAUAUUGAACCGCAUGGUUCAAUAGUGAAAGACGGUUUUGCUGUCACUUAUAGAUGGAUCCGCGCCGCAUUAGCUAGUUGGUAAGGUAACGGCUUACCAAGGCAACGAUGCGUAGCCGACCUGAGAGGGUGAUCGGCCACACUGGAACUAAGACACGGUCCAGACUCCUACGGGAGGCAGCAGUAGGGAAUCUUCCGCAAUGGGCGAAAGCCUGAUGGAGCAACGCCGCGUGAGUGAUGAAGGUCUUCGGAUCGUAAAACUCUGUUAUUAGGGAAGAACAAAUGUGUAAGUAACUAUGCACGUCUUGACGGUACCUAAUCAGAAAGCCACGGCUAACUACGU